ACGGCUAACUCCGUGCCAGCAGCCGCGGUAAUACGGAGGGUGCGAGCGUUAAUCGGAAUUACUGGGCGUAAAGCGCAUGCAGGUGGUUUGUUAAGUCAGAUGUGAAAGCCCCGGGGCUCAACCUCGGAACUGCAUUUGAAACUGGCAGACUAGAGUACUGUAGAGGGGGUAGAAUUUCAGGUGUAGCGGUGAAAUGCGUAGAGAUCUGAAGGAAUACCGGUGGCGAAGGCGGCCCCCUGGACAGAUACUGACACUCAGAUGCGAAAGCGUGGGGAGCAAACAGGAUUAGAUACCCUGUAG
RNAcentral lists this ribosomal RNA (300 nucleotides) under uncultured bacterium. RNAcentral describes it as "bacterial SSU rRNA". It matches the Rfam family "Bacterial small subunit ribosomal RNA", at positions 493 to 793 of the family's 1533-position model. The record is from RNAcentral.